Long non-coding RNA from Carcharodon carcharias (great white shark), 1609 nucleotides. RefSeq lists it as uncharacterized. The record is from RefSeq and is a predicted model, not a curated record. Lineage: Eukaryota; Metazoa; Chordata; Chondrichthyes; Lamniformes; Lamnidae. The transcript is spliced from 2 exons.
CUCUGAAGUCCCCUCGCUCCUCUACCCUCUGCAGAUUGGCCCCUUCCAAGUGAAGAGAGACAGGCAGAGGAAAGAGCUGAGAGGCAGCUGCAGGCGAGUGUAGGAGGUGCUGGAGAAGUGAAGUAGAGGGUGGAAGUCAGAAACAGCACCAACAGACUCCAGCCUCCAGAUUCGAAGACCUGGCAGUGCGAGUACCUCGGGGGGACGUGCAGUGAUCUGCCCUGCCCCGUCGGCCACAGUACAGAGGAGGGGUUCUGCGAUGGUGGCUUGAACUGCUGCUACCCCUGACCGGGACACCGGGCUAUGAGAAGCCCACCCCUUCCGAAGAGCUGCCGCGUUUUCAUCGGGAUGGAUGGGCACCCGAAAUCCACUCCAACCCCCCGUCCCCACCCUCCGCCGUCUCCCCCUCCCCCACCACCCCCGACCCACCACCCGAGCCCUCUCUCGUGACUGUUCCAGGCUCCCGUUUGGAAUCACAAGAAGGCUGGCGUCGACCUGCUGAUCUUUGUUCUCCAAUUCUGACUUUCUCUCCUUGUGCCUUGCGAUUGGACAGUUGUCAGCGGAAGGGGCAAGGUGGUGGGGUGGGGUGGGGGGCUGGGGAAUGCUGGAGGAGGGGUUAGGAUCGGGGAUCAACCCUUGGAGAAGUUGAUCUUUAACCACGCUACCCCACCCCCACUUCCCGGCAAUGUAAACACAGUCCUUCGACCUUAUUGUUAGCCGAGAACAUCACCUGGAAGAAGCUUCCUAAUCGUUAAAGGAACGUGGUCAUGCACGGACUGGGUAACAAAAUAAAACAGUCCGCUCCCCCCUCCAGGAGCCUCUGACAUAACAAAGCUACCCUCAGAUCGGGCAUAUGUAGCAUUAUACUAUAGCUUGUCUAAACUAUUGCCAAAGUCUCCCUGUAUCAGAAUUCUAACUUGGAAGUCUAGGAUAUUGUGAUUAUCUCUGUGUGGGCAGGUGAGGAUAUAGAUGUGAAACUACAUGUUAUGCAGCUGUUAGCGUGUAUAAUAUUUUGGACAAUAUUUUUCUUUUAAGGUAGAGGUUUAGUCUGCAUGUGUCUUAAUUGGAUUAAAGCCAACUCGCCUGGGUACUUUGAUGUGUACUAGUUUUGAGAUGGGAGGGAGGUAGAGUGCAUUUGCAGUCUUUGAAUAGAGCAAUCAAUAAAGUGGGGUGAAAUCUAGCACCUAUCUAGCAGAGACCAAGUGACGUGUUUAUAUUGCUAAUAAAAUUGGUAUUAGGAAUGGGAUUUCAUUGUUAAAAAGUAAAGCUCAUAGAGGUUGGUAAUAUGAAGAGAAUUUGAAUUCUAUCAGUGGUGGCAGGUAUAACUUCAGUAGUUUUCAGGUGUGUGGAGCAGAGGGUGAUCAGAAGGUAGCUGUAAGCCUCCAACUGGUUCCACAGGAACCAAAGUGAAAAGAAACUCAUUUUGAAUUCGUAAGGUGAAACUGCUUUGCCUGGUGCCUGGUUAAGCCUAUGGGUUGCUCUUGCCUUAGUAGAGAUUAGUUUGGGAACUUGUUGAAAAUUCUGAAAGUAGUAAUUUGUAGCCAGGUCUAUAUAUAUAUAUUUUAACCUGUAUAAAUUAAUAAAAUGGUUCAAUUAGUUUAAUGUAAAA